This 1460-nucleotide long non-coding RNA is filed under the name Zonotrichia albicollis (white-throated sparrow). Its description in RNAcentral is "lncRNA (ENSZALG00000012296.1)". Lineage: Eukaryota; Metazoa; Chordata; Aves; Passeriformes; Passerellidae. The record is from RNAcentral.
GCUGCCGUUUCCAUGCAGUACAGGCAGCGUGAUCAGAGCGCUAACACAACAGCCUGUGUAAUUACAUGUUUCUGCAAAGUGUGUUAGCUCCAUGGGGAGCUGAGUCCAUUUGGAGGGGAGGAGGAGGAAGAGACUUUCUUUGAGGGGGGGGGAUAAGGUGAAAAGGGUCAGUGAGUAACCCAGCUCUGGCUGGAAUAGGAUAAAGGUAAUUGUUACUCUCAAGUGAGCACCGGGUGGCUCUGGCUGCUCUCACUGCUCAUGUCUGUGCUGUGCAGGCGUCUGCUCUGCCGAGCAGGCGAGAAGAGAGGAGAGGUUUGACCCUGUUGGGAGCGGUACGUGGCGGGGUUUGACGUGGUUUCUGCGCCAGCAUCACCAGGGCAGGCAGGAAGAUGCAGAGUCAGGGGCACGGCACUUCUGUGCUGCCCAGGAUUUAUUUAGGUGCAGUAAGGGACCAUGGCAAUUAAGAACAAUUAAUGACAGUCUGCGAGCUGGGGCAGGGGGAGGAUGGCUUGGACCUAACCUGUCAUUGAGCCGUGGGCUCUGUGGAUGCUUUGCUGUGACGGAGGGCCGAGGGCUGACCAAGUCGUGGGGAGGAUUUGUAUGUAGGAAGAGAGGAGAUGGCUGUGCAGCGUGCUCCCGAAUCUGCUCUGAGCUUGCUGAUGAGUGCCAGAUCUCCUCCUGACUGCAGAGCACAGGGUAAUGACUGGUGUUUAUCCGAGCUGUUUGCUGCAACAUGUUGAGCCACUGACCUACUUCUGAAAGUUCUGCAUAUUUAUAAUAUUUUAAAGAAGAUUAUUUAGAACACGUGGCUGACUCUAGAAACGUGCCAGUGUCCUGCUGCAAUUAAAGUAAGCCCUUUUGGUGGGGUAUUAGAGUUGCUUAGCUUUACUGAUUUUAUUUAUUUUUUUUUUCCUCUCUCUGGUACUUCUGUUGCCAUUUUCUGUGCAGCAGCAUCAGAGAUGAUUUUAAUGUAAGAUCUCUGCUGGAUGUUUUUCUAUCUAAAUGUCACUGUAGCAUUUCUGCUGGAGAGUUGUUGUAAGUAGCAUGUGUGUGUGUGCACAUGUGCGUGAGAAUGCAUAGAUACAUAGGCAUUAUAUACAUAUUUAUAUAAUUAUUGUCAUUACCACUGAUCUCUUCUGAUUGCAUUAGGAAAUGGUCUCUAGCACUCGGAGACAUGAUGAGUUUAGUAAAGGGAAUGCUGCAGCAUCACAGCCCUGCAGUGCCUAAGGUUGUUAACAAAGGUCAAGUUGAGAAAAGCAGAUUUUAUGUCCAUUACUCGAAAUGCUAAACAUGCUAUUAAACCUCUGCAUGGUUUGUUUUAUAUUUGUCAGUGACUGACUUGCUGUGCAAGCUCAUUUUAUUUCCUCUUGCUUACCUCCGGCCUUCCUGGCUUUUUAAAUGACCUCUUUCUAAUUUCUCUUUUAAAAAUAAAUUGUUGAGUGUCUGUAACCCUUAUGUCA